Molecule: long non-coding RNA, 306 nt
Organism: Aplysia californica (California sea hare)
Lineage: Eukaryota; Metazoa; Mollusca; Gastropoda; Aplysiida; Aplysiidae
Exons: 2
Source: RefSeq, a predicted model, not a curated record
UUUUGCUGAGUUGUUUCGUUUGUUUUCCAUAUCUCGAAAUCGUACAUCAGUAAGGAAAAAGUAUUGCUAUUGUACAGUUUUAAUUUCAUCUUUAUUUCAUCUUAAAUGAAAUUAUCUUUGACUUCCAUAUUAUGCUUCUUUUUUUUUAAAAGCGAUCCAGGCAUUCUGAGUCUUUGGUUGACGUCGUCAAGGCAGUCUGCACUUUUGGAGAUAAUGCUGCCAUGUUAUUUCGGGAUGCUGUACCUACUUCAUAAAAGAGGACUCUUCUAGUGUUGUGACUGAGUGUUCUACCUUCAAAAUCAACAA